UAAAAGUCGUAACAAGGUCUCCGUUGGUGAACCAGCGGAGGGAUCAUUACCGAGUUUACAACUCCCAAACCCCUGUGAACAUACCACUUGUUGCCUCGGCGGAUCAGCCCGCUCCCGGUAAAACGGGACGGCCCGCCAGAGGACCCCUAAACUCUGUUUCUAUAUGUAACUUCUGAGUAAAACCAUAAAUAAAUCAAAACUUUCAACAACGGAUCUCUUGGUUCUGGCAUCGAUGAAGAACGCAGCAAAAUGCGAUAAGUAAUGUGAAUUGCAGAAUUCAGUGAAUCAUCGAAUCUUUGAACGCACAUUGCGCCCGCCAGUAUUCUGGCGGGCAUGCCUGUUCGAGCGUCAUUUCAACCCUCAAGCACAGCUUGGUGUUGGGACUCGCGUUAAUUCGCGUUCCUCAAAUUGAUUGGCGGUCACGUCGAGCUUCCAUAGCGUAGUAGUAAAACCCUCGUUACUGGUAAUCGUCGCGGCCACGCCGUUAAACCCCAACUUCUGAAUGUUGACCUCGGAUCAGGUAGGAAUACCCGCUGAACUUAA
Molecule: ribosomal RNA, 543 nt
Filed under: Fusarium oxysporum
Lineage: Eukaryota; Fungi; Ascomycota; Sordariomycetes; Hypocreales; Nectriaceae
Description: eukaryotic LSU rRNA
Rfam family: 5.8S ribosomal RNA (bases 198-351)
Source: RNAcentral